Molecule: ribosomal RNA, 641 nt
Filed under: Brevundimonas bullata
Lineage: Bacteria; Pseudomonadati; Pseudomonadota; Alphaproteobacteria; Caulobacterales; Caulobacteraceae
Description: bacterial SSU rRNA
Rfam family: Bacterial small subunit ribosomal RNA
Source: RNAcentral
UAGUGGCGGACGGGUGAGUAACACGUGGGAACGUGCCUUUAGGUUCGGAAUAGCUCCUGGAAACGGGUGGUAAUGCCGAAUGUGCCCUUCGGGGGAAAGAUUUAUCGCCUUUAGAGCGGCCCGCGUCUGAUUAGCUAGUUGGUGAGGUAAUGGCUCACCAAGGCGACGAUCAGUAGCUGGUCUGAGAGGAUGACCAGCCACACUGGGACUGAGACACGGCCCAGACUCCUACGGGAGGCAGCAGUGGGGAAUCUUGCGCAAUGGGCGAAAGCCUGACGCAGCCAUGCCGCGUGAAUGAUGAAGGUCUUAGGAUUGUAAAAUUCUUUCACCGGGGACGAUAAUGACGGUACCCGGAGAAGAAGCCCCGGCUAACUUCGUGCCAGCAGCCGCGGUAAUACGAAGGGGGCUAGCGUUGCUCGGAAUUACUGGGCGUAAAGGGCGCGUAGGCGGACAUUUAAGUCAGGGGUGAAAUCCCAGAGCUCAACUCUGGAACUGCCUUUGAUACUGGGUGUCUUGAGUGUGAGAGAGGUAUGUGGAACUCCGAGUGUAGAGGUGAAAUUCGUAGAUAUUCGGAAGAACACCAGUGGCGAAGGCGACAUACUGGCUCAUUACUGACGCUGAGGCGCGAAAGCGUGGGGAGC